RNAcentral lists this ribosomal RNA (491 nucleotides) under uncultured bacterium. Its description in RNAcentral is "partial 16S ribosomal RNA". It matches the Rfam family "Bacterial small subunit ribosomal RNA", at positions 29 to 507 of the family's 1533-position model. The record is from RNAcentral.
GUGAACGCUGGCGGUAGGCCUAACACAUGCAAGUCGAACGGCAGCACAGUAAGAGCUUGCUCUUACGGGUGGCGAGUGGCGGACGGGUGAGGAAUACAUCGGAAUCUACUUUUUCGUGGGGGAUAACGUAGGGAAACUUACGCUAAUACCGCAUACGACCUACGGGUGAAAGCAGGGGAUCUUCGGACCUUGCGCGAUUGAAUGAGCCGAUGUCGGAUUAGCUAGUUGGCGGGGUAAAGGCCCACCAAGGCGACGAUCCGUAGCUGGUCCGAGAGGAUGAUCAGCCACACUGGAACUGAGACACGGUCCAGACUCCUACGGGAGGCAGCAGUGGGGAAUAUUGGACAAUGGGCGCAAGCCUGAUCCAGCCAUACCGCGUGGGUGAAGAAGGCCUUCGGGUUGUAAAGCCCUUUUGCUGGGAAAGAAAAGCAGCAGGUUAAUACCCCGCUGUUCUGACGGUACCCAAAGAAUAAGCACCGGCUAACUUCGUG